RNAcentral lists this ribosomal RNA (104 nucleotides) under Panthera pardus (leopard). Lineage: Eukaryota; Metazoa; Chordata; Mammalia; Carnivora; Felidae. The record is from RNAcentral.
ACAUUUGGUAGAAACUGUUGAAGCCACCUGGUCCCAGCAGACCCCAGAAGGCGGCCAUGUUCGCUGGUACUGGGGCGUGGUCAUUAAGGGUGGUGCCAGAUAUG